CACAUAUUACCAUCUCAUCUCUCUUUAGCUCCAUGACUUGUGGCAAUGGCUUGAUGAUUGGAGAUUUCUCUUGGUCACCAUUACUUGUGUAAUGGCUAGAUAAUGACCUACUAAUACAACCUAUUAGAUCAGCCCAAUUAGAAGAUUCUAAACCUCAACCUAAACCAACUUUAUCCCUCUCUCUGUGUGUUUCUUUUGGUUCACACGUUUGCCUACCGCUACUCAUGGUCACUUUUCUCUCAUAAUUCUCUCUUCACUCUAUCAUUUCUCUUUUACACAUAACCUCUUAACCAAGCCCUCUUCCUCUCUCUACUCCCUUGUAAUCUCUCUCUCAUAACUCUCUUUCUCAUCUCUCUUCCAUUUCUUUCUCACAGAUCUUACCUUGCUCUUUUUUAUGAGUUCUUUCACAAGAAUGCGGAACUAAAAUAUCACAUAUUGAGGAAAUAUAGGGAGAGG
RNAcentral lists this long non-coding RNA (456 nucleotides) under Phoenix dactylifera (date palm). RNAcentral's name for it is "long non-coding RNA (PDAC_LNC020034)". Lineage: Eukaryota; Viridiplantae; Streptophyta; Magnoliopsida; Arecales; Arecaceae. The record is from RNAcentral.